RNAcentral lists this ribosomal RNA (237 nucleotides) under Triticum aestivum (bread wheat). Its description in RNAcentral is "partial small subunit ribosomal RNA". Lineage: Eukaryota; Viridiplantae; Streptophyta; Magnoliopsida; Poales; Poaceae. The record is from RNAcentral.
AUGAUUCGAACUCUGGUCGACAUUGGAGCUGAACUCGUUAUCGUUAUGUCUGUUGUUCUGCUUGAUUGGCUCACAUAUGUUGAUGUCGUGUCUCUCUCGGCACACCCAUGGAUCAGCGCAGCGGGCUGCUUAGGCUCCAUUGGUAAGCUUAUACUUUCAGAGUUCAGCAUUGCAGCAACAUCUGUCAUGGUGGGCCGAUCUGUUGGAUCUUCCUGAGCACAAAGUAGUGCCACCUGA